Molecule: long non-coding RNA, 213 nt
Filed under: Elaeis guineensis (African oil palm)
Lineage: Eukaryota; Viridiplantae; Streptophyta; Magnoliopsida; Arecales; Arecaceae
Description: long non-coding RNA (EGUI_LNC030064)
Source: RNAcentral
CUCACGAUGGAUAGCGGAAAGAGAGGGGGCCAAAACUGAUGUCCUCCAUAAAAUCUGACCGACAGCGGCCUCUAAAUCAACGAAUCGGUGUGUCGCCAUCAUUUUCCAACCGUCGGUCGUCGAUAGCCAUCGAGAAGCAAGAAAAAAAUAUCGGUCAAGACGAGAUCCGACGACCCCCCCUCCAUUUUUUUUGUUUGUUUGGUUAACUAAGCC